UACGAAGGGGGCUAGCGUUGCUCGGAAUCACUGGGCGUAAAGCGCACGUAGGCGGAUUGCUAAGUCAGGGGUGAAAUCCCAGAGCUCAACUCUGGAACUGCCUUUGAUACUGGGUGUCUUGAGUAUGGAAGAGGUGAGUGGAAUUCCGAGUGUAGAGGUGAAAAUUCGUAGAUAUUCGGAGGAACACCAGUGGCGAAGGCGGCUCACUGGUCCAUUACUGACGCUGAGGUGCGAAAGCGUGGGGAGCAAACAGG
This 254-nucleotide ribosomal RNA is filed under the name uncultured bacterium. RNAcentral describes it as "partial 16S ribosomal RNA". It matches the Rfam family "Bacterial small subunit ribosomal RNA", at positions 524 to 776 of the family's 1533-position model. The record is from RNAcentral.